RNAcentral lists this ribosomal RNA (490 nucleotides) under uncultured bacterium. RNAcentral's name for it is "bacterial SSU rRNA". It matches the Rfam family "Bacterial small subunit ribosomal RNA", at positions 15 to 507 of the family's 1533-position model. The record is from RNAcentral.
GAUCAUGGCUCAGAUUGAACGCUGGCGGCAUGCUUUACACAUGCAAGUCGAACGGUAACAGGUUAAGCUGACGAGUGGCGAACGGGUGAGUAAUGCAUCGGAACGUGCCCAGUCGUGGGGGAUAACGCAGCGAAAGCUGUGCUAAUACCGCAUACGAUCUAUGGAUGAAAGCGGGGGACCGUAAGGCCUCGCGCGAUCGGAGCGGCCGAUGUCAGAUUAGGUAGUUGGUGGGGUAAAGGCUCACCAAGCCGACGAUCUGUAGCUGGUCUGAGAGGACGACCAGCCACACUGGGACUGAGACACGGCCCAGACUCCUACGGGAGGCAGCAGUGGGGAAUUUUGGACAAUGGGCGCAAGCCUGAUCCAGCAAUGCCGCGUGCAGGAAGAAGGCCUUCGGGUUGUAAACUGCUUUUGUACGGAACGAAAAGGUCUGGGUUAAUACCCUGGGCUCAUGACGGUACCGUAAGGAUAAGCACCGGCUAACUACGUG